Cucurbita maxima (winter squash) is the source of this 859-nucleotide long non-coding RNA. RefSeq lists it as uncharacterized. NCBI's taxonomy places the organism in Eukaryota, Viridiplantae, Streptophyta, Magnoliopsida, Cucurbitales, Cucurbitaceae. The record is from RefSeq and is a predicted model, not a curated record. The transcript is spliced from 4 exons.
AAACACUGAAACCUUACAGAUUGGGAAGUGAAUCGUGGGCUUUCUUAGGCCCAACACAUCUAUACACGUGCCAUUCAGCCGACAUGUCGUACAGUCAAUCACGAUAUGUUAAUUAAUGAAUCUCCCUUCUCCAACGCGUACCUUAUUGUUUUGUGAAUUUUUUCUAAUUUGCCACGUAUGCUAAUUUUAUGAGGUUCCAUGUGAGCGAGCACACACGAUCUCCGCCCCCGACUAUAUAUAUAAGGAAAUGUAAAUGGCGGGAACCAGAGAUGUAGAGAUGGUCUGAGUUUUGAGUGAGAAUGUCUCUGUGGCGAAAGAAAUGAGGAACGACGAUUAUCAUUUGGAACGUUUUUACCUUUGGCCUCGUCGGCGCCGCGACAUCCACUUCCUUCGCCGUGUGGUUUACGCUAUUCGUAUGUUUGGAUUGCUUUCAGGAACCGGAUGAUCGGAAGCUUUGGAGGAUAUUUUUCUCUGGAAUAAUCAGCGCCACAGCGUCCAUUAUUUCCGAACUGAUCCUGGGGGAUACGAUUCAAUCAUUCCACUUAGAUGGUUGGUAUAGGGUGACUGACACAUCACGCAGCAAUUGGUAGAUUGACUAUACAGGGACUCGAAGUGAGAGUAUGUGACAUUAUCACUGCUCAGUUUCAGGUCUGGACAGACUGCAUUUGGAUCCAAGGCAAAGCAGUAUCCCCGUAUCAAACCAGGAAAUAAAGGUGUGAUGGGAAAUCUUUGCCAUUGACUCCUGGAGAAGGCAGGGGAUUAGCAUCUUGAAUCGUCCCAAGUGGAGCAAAUUAGGUUAGUUGGGACCAACUGACUUCGAUGGAAACGGCAGCUAGAAGGAAAAUCUUUGGAGCCAAAA